RNAcentral lists this transfer RNA (68 nucleotides) under Bourletiella arvalis. Its description in RNAcentral is "tRNA-Gln". Lineage: Eukaryota; Metazoa; Arthropoda; Collembola; Symphypleona; Bourletiellidae. The record is from RNAcentral.
UUAGUUUUAGUUUAUAUGAACAGAAAAAUUUGAUCUUUCAAGAAAUAGUGAAAUUCUAUUAAAUUAAA